CACAGGGCUACAGGUACACACACACACAGGGCUACAGGUACACACACACACACACACACACACACACACACACACACACAGGGCUACAGUUACACACACACAGGGCUACAGGUACACACUCACACACACACACACACACACACACACACAGGGAUACAGGUACACACACACACACAGGGCUACAGGUACACACACACACAGGGCUACAGGUACACACACACACACAGGGAUACAGGUACACACACACACACACACAGGGCUACAGGUACACACACACACACAGGGAUACAGGUACACACACACACACAGGGCUACAGGUACACACACACACACAGGGCUACAGGUACACACACACACACACACACACACACACAGGGCUACAGGUACACACACACACACACACACACAGGGCUACAGGUACACACACACAGGGCUACAGGUACACACACACACACACAGGGCUACAGGUACACACACACACACAGGGCUACAGGUACACACACACACACACACACAGGGCUACAGGUACACACACACACACACACACACAGGGCUACAGGUACACACACACACACAGGG
Molecule: long non-coding RNA, 579 nt
Filed under: Salmo salar (Atlantic salmon)
Lineage: Eukaryota; Metazoa; Chordata; Actinopteri; Salmoniformes; Salmonidae
Description: lncRNA (ENSSSAG00000111393.1)
Source: RNAcentral